This 437-nucleotide ribosomal RNA is filed under the name uncultured Oscillospiraceae bacterium. RNAcentral's name for it is "bacterial SSU rRNA". It matches the Rfam family "Bacterial small subunit ribosomal RNA", at positions 341 to 792 of the family's 1533-position model. The record is from RNAcentral. Lineage: Bacteria; Bacillati; Bacillota; Clostridia; Eubacteriales; Oscillospiraceae.
ACGGGAGGCAGCAGUGGGGAAUAUUAGGCAAUGGGGGCAACCCUGACCUAGCAACGCCGCGUGAAGGAAGAAGGCCUUCGGGUUGUAAACUUCUUUUAUAGGGGACGAAACAAAUGACGGUACCCUAUGAAUAAGCCACGGCUAACUACGUGCCAGCAGCCGCGGUAAUACGUAGGUGGCAAGCGUUGUCCGGAUUUACUGGGUGUAAAGGGCGCGUAGGCGGGAUGGCAAGUCAGAUGUGAAAUCCAUGGGCUCAACCCAUGAACUGCAUUUGAAACUGACGUUCUUGAGUGUUGGAGAGGCUAACGGAACUCCUAGUGUAGCGGUGAAAUGCGUAGAUAUUAGGAAGAACACCAGUGGCGAAGGCGGUUAGCUGGACAAUAACUGACGUUGAGGCGCGAAAGCGUGGGUAGCAAACAGGAUUAGAUACCCUGGUA